UGAACGCUGGCGGCAGGCUUAACACAUGCAAGUCGAGCGGAAACGAUGGUAGCUUGCUACCAGGCGUCGAGCGGCGGACGGGUGAGUAAUACUUAGGAAUCUACCUAGUAGUGGGGGAUAGCACGGGGAAACUCGUAUUAAUACCGCAUACGACCUACGGGAGAAAGGGGGCAGUUUACUGCUCUCGCUAUUAGAUGAGCCUAAGUCGGAUUAGCUAGAUGGUGGGGUAAAGGCCUACCAUGGCGACGAUCUGUAGCUGGUCUGAGAGGAUGAUCAGCCACACCGGGACUGAGACACGGCCCGGACUCCUACGGGAGGCAGCAGUGGGGAAUAUUGGACAAUGGGGGAAACCCUGAUCCAGCCAUGCCGCGUGUGUGAAGAAGGCCUUUUGGUUGUAAAGCACUUUAAGCAGUGAAGAAGACUCUUCGGUUAAUACCCGGAGACGAUGACAUUAGCUGCAGAAUAAGCACCGGCUAACUCUGUGCCAGCAGCCGCGGUAAUACAGAGGGUGCAAGCGUUAAUCGGAAUUACUGGGCGUAAAGCGAGCGUAGGUGGCUUGAUAAGUCAGAUGUGAAAUCCCCGGGCUUAACCUGGGAACUGCAUCUGAAACUGUUAGGCUAGAGUAGGUGAGAGGGAAGUAGAAUUUCAGGUGUAGCGGUGAAAUGCGUAGAGAUCUGAAGGAAUACCGAUGGCGAAGGCAGCUUCCUGGCAUCAUACUGACACUGAGGCUCGAAAGCGUGGGUAGCAAACAGGAUUAGAUACCCUGGUAGUCCACGCCGUAAACGAUGUCUACUAGUCGUUGGGUCCCUUGAGGACUUAGUGACGCAGCUAACGCAAUAAGUAGACCG
Molecule: ribosomal RNA, 848 nt
Filed under: uncultured Psychrobacter sp.
Lineage: Bacteria; Pseudomonadati; Pseudomonadota; Gammaproteobacteria; Moraxellales; Moraxellaceae
Description: bacterial SSU rRNA
Rfam family: Bacterial small subunit ribosomal RNA
Source: RNAcentral